RNAcentral lists this ribosomal RNA (427 nucleotides) under uncultured bacterium. Its description in RNAcentral is "bacterial SSU rRNA". It matches the Rfam family "Bacterial small subunit ribosomal RNA", at positions 29 to 456 of the family's 1533-position model. The record is from RNAcentral.
AUUAAACGCUGGCGGCAUGCCUUACACAUGCAAGUCGAACGGCAGCACGGGGGCAACCCUGGUGGCGAGUGGCGAACGGGUGAGUAAAGCAUCGGAACGUGCCCUGGAGUGGGGGAUAACGUAGCGAAAGUUACGCUAAUACCGCAUAUUCUGUGAGCAGGAAAGCAGGGGAUCGCAAGACCUUGCGCUCUGGGAGCGGCCGAUGUCGGAUUAGCUAGUUGGUGGGGUAGAGGCCUACCAAGCCUACGAUCUGUAGCUGGUCUGAGAGGACGACCAGCCACACUGGGACUGAGACACGGCCCAGACUCCUACGGGAGGCAGCAGUGGGGAAUUUUGGACAACGGGCGCAAGCCUGAUCCAGCCAUGCCGCGUGAGUGAAGAAGGCCUUCGGUUGGUAAAGCGUCUUACGGCCGGGAACGAAAGUACG